Molecule: long non-coding RNA, 1377 nt
Filed under: Ornithorhynchus anatinus (platypus)
Lineage: Eukaryota; Metazoa; Chordata; Mammalia; Monotremata; Ornithorhynchidae
Description: lncRNA (ENSOANG00000046033.1)
Source: RNAcentral
CGCUGGGGUAGAUACAAGGUAAUCAGGAUGGACACACUCCCUGUCCCACAUAGGGCUCACAGUCUUAAUCCCCAUUUUACAGAUCAGGCAACUGAGGCACAGAAGUAACACAACAGACAAGUGGCAGAGCUGGAAUUAGAACACAGGUCCUUCUGAUUCCCAGGCCCAUGCUCUAUCCACUAGGGUAUGCUGCUUCUCCAGCACUUAUUGAGUGCUUACUGUAUGCAGAUCACUGUACUAAGCACUUGGGAAAGUACCAUUGAACAGAGUUGGUAGACACAUUUCCCGACCACAUAAACUUACAGUCUAGAGGGGUAGACAGACAUUAAUAUAAAUAAAUAAAUUAGGGAUAUGCGUGAAAGUACUGUGGGGCUGAGUGAUCAGAGAAUUUGCAAAUGAUCUGCUGUUCCUCCUGUGGCUUUUUAUCCAGAUCCAGAGAAGAAGGAAGUGACCCAAUCUGGCUGGUUUGGUGUUCAGGGUUCUGGUGGAGGUGGAACUGAAGUUAAAGGAAAAUUCAUUGGAAAUCGGAAACUUCUCGCAUUUCCAGCUGCCUGGGAACUACAUUUCCCAGAAACCUCUGGGAAUAAGAGCUAAUCGUCAACUUGGGCAGAGCAUGGAGACCUCGUGGGGAACCUUUCCGUGGUUUGAACAAUCGCCCGUGGUCGCAGUGAAUAGUGAUGCUCCAAUAAGGUGGCACCUGGGUAAAGCAGAAAUGACAAGGAUGAUGAUGGUGGCAAGCUGAAACUCCUCACCACUCAAUCGGUUUCCCUCUUUCCUACCUAGCCACUCUCUUCUCCCACCCACUACACCCAAGCUCACACACUUUGUUCCUCUCGAAAUUGCCUUCUUACUCAGCGUCAUUCUCAUCUCUAGUACAAGCUCUGUAGCCCUGGUCUGCUGUGUGACCCUGCAAGUUAUAAUAGUAAUAACAAUAAUAAUAAAAACAACAAAAAUGUCCAAACCUAAUAAUUAUGAUAUUUGUUAAGUGCUUACUAUGUACCGAGCACUGUUCUAAGCACUGAAUUAGUCACAAGGUAAUCAGGUUGACCCACGUGGAGCUCACAGUUUUAAUCCCCAUUUUACAGAUGAAUUAACUGAGGCACAGAGAAAUUAUGUGUCUUGCCCAAGGUCAUAGAGCAGACAAGUGGAGGAGCCGGGAUUAGAACUCAUGCCUUUUAACUCCUAAACCAGUGCACUUUCCACUAAGCCAAGCUGCUUCCCUGCUUCUGCUUCUCUGCUUCUUAUAGUGGAUGGGCAGGAAAGGAAUGGUCAGUUAGGUUGAUGUAAUAAUGCUGAAGGUUGGGGACCAGAAACACUGGUCAGGGCUUUCUACAGAACAGCAUCGGCCCUACUGUUCCAUGCAAGGGACAGUGCGGG